This 484-nucleotide ribosomal RNA is filed under the name uncultured bacterium. RNAcentral describes it as "partial 16S ribosomal RNA". It matches the Rfam family "Bacterial small subunit ribosomal RNA", at positions 30 to 507 of the family's 1533-position model. The record is from RNAcentral.
AUUGAACGCUGGCGGCAGGCCUAACACAUGCAAGUCGAGCGGACGAAGGGAGCUUGCUCCUGGCUUCAGCGGCGGACGGGUGAGUAAUGCCCAGGUAUCUGCCCUGCAUUUGGGGAUGACGUCCGGACACGGGCGCUAAUAUCGCACACGUCCAGAUGGUGAAAGUGGUGGAUCUUUGGACCUCACGCUAUCAGAUGAGCCUAGGUCGGAUUAGCUAGUUGGUGGGGUAAAGGCCUACCAAGGCGACGAUCCGUAACUGGUCUGAGAGGGUGAUCAGUCACACUGGAACUGAGACACGGUCCAGACUCCUACGGGAGGCAGCAGUGGGGAAUAUUGGGCAAUGGGCGAAAGCCUGAUGCAGCCAUGCCGCGUGUGUGAAGAAGGUCUUCGGAUUGUAAAGCACUUUAAGUUGGGAGGAAGGGCAGUAAGUGAAUACCUUGCUGUUUUGACGGUACCAACAGAAUAAGCACCGGCUAACUUCGUG